Molecule: long non-coding RNA, 646 nt
Organism: Gopherus flavomarginatus (Mexican gopher tortoise)
Lineage: Eukaryota; Metazoa; Chordata; Testudines; Testudinidae
Exons: 4
Source: RefSeq, a predicted model, not a curated record
GACAGUGGGGCAAAUGAGAUCAGCAAUUCUCCCUAUGAGGAGGGGCUCCCAUUAGCUGCUCUCCCCAGAGAGCUAAAGGAGGGAAGCUGCUCAAACGCUCUGUCCCUCUCUGCUCAGGAUAUUGGGGUUCAGCUUCCUGGGUCAGAGACUGCAGCCUCCAUUGUGAUCUGGGAGACCAGGCUUGGCAGCUGCUGCUCCCCCAGUGGGGCUCUGUGCUGGGAAGUGACCUUAAUUAAAGCUUCUUCUCUGCCCGGCCCAGGGGAUGACUUUCUGCAGCUGGUCCUAGCCCCCUAGGGCAGCCCUGGGCCCUGUUACUACUAAAUUCUGAGCCAGAGUCUCCAGACAGGCUGCAGAAUGACGUCCAUGUUUUGCUCCAGCUCAUCCCAGCCUGGCGUGGGACAGGGAAGAGAAAUGGCUGCAGUGGAGUCAGUCAAGGGGCUGGUGACCUUCAAGGAGGUGGCUGUGUAUUUCACCAGGGAAGAGUAGGCUCUGCUGGACCCCACUCAGAGAGCCCUCUACUGGGAUGUCAUGCAGGAGAACUAUGAGACUGUGACCUCGCUGGGCCAGAGAAUAACAUCCAUGUUUCGCUUCAGAUCAUCUCGUCCUCCCAGGGGGAAGGAAAUGGCUGCAAUGGAGCUGGCUCAGG